This 438-nucleotide ribosomal RNA is filed under the name Pristimantis matidiktyo. Its description in RNAcentral is "partial 16S ribosomal RNA". It matches the Rfam family "Bacterial large subunit ribosomal RNA", at positions 1848 to 2551 of the family's 2925-position model. Lineage: Eukaryota; Metazoa; Chordata; Amphibia; Anura; Strabomantidae. The record is from RNAcentral.
AGAGGUCUAGCCUGCCCAGUGGUUCAACGGCCGCGGUAUUCUAACCGUGCGAAGGUAGCGUAAUCACUUGUUUUCUAAAUAAAGACCAGUAUGAAAGGCAUCACGAGGAUUAAACUGUCUCCUCUUUCUAAUCAGUGAACCUAAUCUCCCCGUGAAGAAGCCGGGAUUCACAUAUAAGACGAGAAGACCCUGUGGAGCUUAAAACACCUAACAUGUGGCACUUUGAUUAUCUGUUUUUGGUUGGGGUGACCGCGGAGAAAACCCAUCCUCCGCAAUGAAUAAGCAAUAAGUUACAACUUUAAGCAUCAAAAUUGACACAAGUGACCCAUAAUUUGAUCAAUGAGCCAAGUUACCCCAGGGAUAACAGCACAAUCCACUUUAAGAGCUCCUAUCGACAAGUGGGCUUAUGACCUCGAUGUUGGAUCGGGAUAUCCUAGU